UGCACUUGAAAAGAGAGAUAUCUCAAUAGCGGUCUGUUGCUUCGGAAGCAUGG
Molecule: transfer RNA, 53 nt
Filed under: Tubifex tubifex (sludge worm)
Lineage: Eukaryota; Metazoa; Annelida; Clitellata; Tubificida; Naididae
Description: tRNA-Ala
Source: RNAcentral